UCGGCGGUCUUCCACGCGUGGAUCGGCGAUCCCGCCCUUCUGGCGGGCGGCGGAGCGGGGCCGAUCGCGGUGGCCAUCGCCUGU
Molecule: transfer RNA, 84 nt
Filed under: Planotetraspora thailandica
Lineage: Bacteria; Bacillati; Actinomycetota; Actinomycetes; Streptosporangiales; Streptosporangiaceae
Description: tRNA-Gln
Source: RNAcentral